UCAUAUCUUACCUGUUCUCCAACUUCUCCUAUGAAGAAUCCGGUGGACUAACAAGCGCGUUCCAAGUCCCGGAGAAGACUCGACGCUUUAAAGUUCACGUUCUUUUAUUUCGAACUAGGCUACUGCGAACCAUUACUCAGAUUUCCAUCUUUGGAUCCAGUCUUGACAAAUCAGGAAGAUGACUGAUAGACUACAGCAAGUCCAACAGGGUGUAGAGGAGUUGACGUUGAUUAUGGAGAAGAAUGUCAAUAAAGUUGAAGAACGUGGGGACAAGUUAACAGAUCUGGAUGAACGUGCUGAUAAUCUUCUCAAGAGUAGCCUUUCCUUCCAUAAGCAGUCAAAGAAAGUCCUGGUCAAGCAGGAAAAGGAGAAUCGGAAGGGCAAGAUUCGAAUCAUAGCCAUUGUGGUGGUACUGUUCCUGAUAAUCAUCAUAGUGGCCAUCGUCAUGCUCAG
This is a long non-coding RNA of Sardina pilchardus (European sardine), 453 nucleotides long. RefSeq lists it as uncharacterized. Lineage: Eukaryota; Metazoa; Chordata; Actinopteri; Clupeiformes; Clupeidae. The record is from RefSeq and is a predicted model, not a curated record. The transcript is spliced from 3 exons.